This 212-nucleotide ribosomal RNA is filed under the name uncultured prokaryote. RNAcentral's name for it is "partial 16S ribosomal RNA". It matches the Rfam family "Bacterial small subunit ribosomal RNA", at positions 524 to 735 of the family's 1533-position model. The record is from RNAcentral.
UACGUAGGGUGCGAGCGUUAAUCGGAAUUACUGGGCGUAAAGCGUGCGCAGGCGGUUUUGUAAGACAGGCGUGAAAUCCCCGGGCUUAACCUGGGAACUGCAUGUCGAACUGCCAGGCUAGAGUAUGGUAGAGGGGUGUGGAAUUUCCGGUGUAGCGGUGAAAUGCGUAGAUAUCGGAAGGAACAUCAGUGGCGAAGGCGACACCCUGGACC